RNAcentral lists this non-coding RNA (31 nucleotides) under Rattus norvegicus (Norway rat). The record is from RNAcentral. Lineage: Eukaryota; Metazoa; Chordata; Mammalia; Rodentia; Muridae.
UGUAAAAUGGAGAUAUAUUACCCAACCUUGG